Molecule: ribosomal RNA, 722 nt
Filed under: uncultured Staphylococcus sp.
Lineage: Bacteria; Bacillati; Bacillota; Bacilli; Caryophanales; Staphylococcaceae
Description: bacterial SSU rRNA
Rfam family: Bacterial small subunit ribosomal RNA
Source: RNAcentral
AUGCAAGUCGAGCGAACAGACGAGGAGCUUGCUCCUCUGACGUUAGCGGCGGACGGGUGAGUAACACGUGGAUAACCUACCUAUAAGACUGGGAUAACUUCGGGAAACCGGAGCUAAUACCGGAUAAUAUAUUGAACCGCAUGGUUCAAUAGUGAAAGACGGUUUUGCUGUCACUUAUAGAUGGAUCCGCGCCGCAUUAGCUAGUUGGUAAGGUAACGGCUUACCAAGGCAACGAUGCGUAGCCGACCUGAGAGGGUGAUCGGCCACACUGGAACUGAGACACGGUCCAGACUCCUACGGGAGGCAGCAGUAGGAAAUCUUCCGCAAUGGGCGAAAGCCUGACGGAGCAACGCCGCGUGAGUGAUGAAGGUCUUCGGAUCGUAAAACUCUGUUAUUAGGGAAGAAUAAAUGUGUAAGUAACUAUGCACGUCUUGACGGUACCUAAUCAGAAAGCCACGGCUAACUACGUGCCAGCAGCCGCGGUAAUACGUAGGUGGCAAGCGUUAUCCGGAAUUAUUGGGCGUAAAGCGCGCGUAGGCGGUUUUUUAAGUCUGAUGUGAAAGCCCACGGCUCAACCGUGGAGGGUCAUUGGAAACUGGAAAACUUGAGUGCAGAAGAGGAAAGUGGAAUUCCAUGUGUAGCGGUGAAAUGCGCAGAGAUAUGGAGGAACACCAGUGGCGAAGGCGACUUUCUGGUCUGUAACUGACGCUGAUGUGCGAAAG